GCCGACGUAGCUCAGUCGGUAGAGCGCGUCCUUGGUAAGGACGAGGUCACCGGUUCAAUCCCGGUCGUCGGCCCCA
This 76-nucleotide transfer RNA is filed under the name Candidatus Poribacteria bacterium. RNAcentral's name for it is "tRNA-Thr". It matches the Rfam family "tRNA". Rfam says of the family: Transfer RNA (tRNA) molecules are approximately 80 nucleotides in length. Their secondary structure includes four short double-helical elements and three loops (D, anti-codon, and T loops). Further hydrogen bonds mediate the characteristic L-shaped molecular structure. tRNAs have two regions of fundamental functional importance: the anti-codon, which is responsible for specific mRNA codon recognition, and the 3' end, to which the tRNAs corresponding amino acid is attached (by aminoacyl-tRNA synthetases). tRNAs cope with the degeneracy of the genetic code in two manners: having more than one tRNA (with a specific anti-codon) for a particular amino acid; and 'wobble' base-pairing, i.e. permitting non-standard base-pairing at the 3rd anti-codon position. Lineage: Bacteria; Candidatus Poribacteria. The record is from RNAcentral.